Molecule: long non-coding RNA, 1668 nt
Filed under: Canis lupus familiaris (dog)
Lineage: Eukaryota; Metazoa; Chordata; Mammalia; Carnivora; Canidae
Description: lncRNA (ENSCAFG00000051924.1)
Source: RNAcentral
UGGACAGAUCCAGCAGGCUAAAAAUCGGUAAGGACAUAGUUGGAUUCAACAUCACUAUCAGUCACCUGGAUAUAAUUGAUAUCUAUGGAUGACAUUAUCCAACAGAAGAAUACACAUUCUUCUCAAGCUCACAUGGAACAUUCAACUGCAUACAUCUUAUUAAACACACCUUGACAAAUUUAAAAGAACAGAAAUCAUAAUUUCUGAUCCCAGAGCACAUGGAAUUAAACAAAAAAACCAAUAACAAAAAAUAACUGAAAAAUUCCAAAAUGCAUGAAGAUUAAGCAACACAUGAGUCAAAGGAGAAAUCUCAAGAGAAAUUUUAAAAUAUUUUGAACUUAACAACAACAAAAAGACUCCCAGGCAAUUUGCCAAAACAGGUUGGAUGCAGUAAAAGCAGUGCUUAGAAGGAAAUUUAUAGUAUUGAAAGCAUAUGUUAGAAAGGAAAAAAGAUCUAAAAUCAAUCAUCUAAGUUUGUAACUUAAGUAACUAGAAAAAGAAGAGCAAAUUAAAUCCAAAGUAAGCAGAAGAAAAGAAAUAUAAGAAUUAGAACAAAAAACAAUGAAAUUGAAAACAAGAAAUUUUUUUAAAAGCUGGUUCUUUGAAAAGAUAAUAUCAGAAAUGAAAGAGGAGACAUCACCAGAAAUACUAGGAACAACUCUAUUCCCACAAACUUGAUAAUCUAGAUGAUAUAGAACAAUUCUUUGAAAGACACAAUUUGCUAGAUCUUACACAUGAAGAAAUAAUCAACUUGAAUAGGUCUGUAUCUAUAUAAAAAUGGAAUCAAUAAUUAAUAACUUCCUAAAAUAGCACCAAGCCUAGAUGAGUUCACUGGUGAAUUCCACCAAAUAUUAAGGAAGAAAUUCUAAUUCUCUAGAAUUAUAGCAUGGAAGCAGAGGUAAUACUUCCUAAUUCAUUCUGUGAAGCAAGAAUUACUAGUGCCAAAGCCAGACAAAGAUGUCAUCAGAAACAAGAUGUGCAGACCAAUAUCUCUCAUGAACAUACAUGCAAAAAUUGUCAACAAAAUAAAAGCAAAUCGAAUCUAGUGAUGAAUAGAAAUAAUUAAAUAAUAUAACCCUGCCAGAUUUAUUCUGGAUAUGCAAGGCAGUUUCAAUACUUGAAAAUCAGUUAAUCUAUCACAUCUAUAAUCUAAGAAAGUAAAACACACAAUCAUAUCAAUAGAUGCAGAAAAUCAUUUUACAAAAUCCAACACCUAUUUGUGGGGAAAAAAAAGAAACCUCUCAGAAAACGAGGAUUAGAGGAGAAUUUCCUCAAUUUCAUAAAAAGUAUCUACAAAAAUGUAUAGCUAAUGUCAGAUUUAAUGGUAAGAAAUUAGAAUAUUUCCCACUAGGAUCAGGAACAAGAUAAGAUGUUUCUGCCUGUCACUCAUUUUCAACACUGUACUGAAAGUAUUAGUUAAUUCAAUAAAAGAAAUAAAAUGUAUACAUUUUGAGAAGGAAGAAAUAAAACUAUCUUGUUCAUAGAUGACAUAAUGGCCUAUGUAGAAACCCUGAAAAAAAAACUGACAAAAAAAACUCCUGGAACUAACAAGUCAUUACAGAAAGAUUGAAAUAUACAAUGUCAAUAUACAAUCGUCAAUAGUUUCUUAUACCAGAAAUAAGUAGAAUUUGAAAAUAAAAGUACAAUACCAUAUACAUUAGCACCCCC